GGUGUAACGCUGGACGGAGUGCUUAACACAUGCAAGUCGACUCGAGGUCUUCGGGACUUAGGGUGGCGCACGGGUGAGUAACGCGUAAAGAACAUGCCUCUUAGGCUGGGACAACAUCUGGAAACGGAUGCUAAUACCGGAUAUUAUGGUUUUUUCGCAUGGAGGAAUCAUGAAAGCUUGGAUGCGCUAAGAGAGAGCUUUGCGUCCCAUUAGCUAGUUGGUGAGGCAACGGCCCACCAAGGCAAUGAUGGGUAGCCGGCCCGAGAGGGUGAACGGCCGCAAGGGGACUGAGACACGGCCCUU
This 303-nucleotide ribosomal RNA is filed under the name uncultured bacterium. Its description in RNAcentral is "bacterial SSU rRNA". It matches the Rfam family "Bacterial small subunit ribosomal RNA", at positions 27 to 334 of the family's 1533-position model. The record is from RNAcentral.